RNAcentral lists this ribosomal RNA (253 nucleotides) under uncultured bacterium. Its description in RNAcentral is "partial 16S ribosomal RNA". It matches the Rfam family "Bacterial small subunit ribosomal RNA", at positions 524 to 776 of the family's 1533-position model. The record is from RNAcentral.
UACGAAGGGGGCUAGCGUUGCUCGGAAUUACUGGGCGUAAAGCGCACGUAGGCGGCUUAUUAAGUCGGGGGUGAAAUCCUGGAGCUCAACUCCAGAACUGCCUUCGAUACUGAUGAGCUUGAGUUCGGGAGAGGUGAGUGGAACUGCGAGUGUAGAGGUGAAAUUCGUAGAUAUUCGCAAGAACACCAGUGGCGAAGGCGGCUCACUGGCCCGAUACUGACGCUGAGGUGCGAAAGCAUGGGGAGCAAACAGG